RNAcentral lists this ribosomal RNA (250 nucleotides) under uncultured bacterium. Its description in RNAcentral is "partial 16S ribosomal RNA". It matches the Rfam family "Bacterial small subunit ribosomal RNA", at positions 524 to 773 of the family's 1533-position model. The record is from RNAcentral.
UACAGAGGGUGCAAGCGUUAAUCGGAAUUACUGGGCGUAAAGCGCGCGUAGGUGGUUAUACAAGUUGGGUGUGAAAUCCCUGGGCUCAACCUAGGAAUUGCAUUCAAAACUAUAUGACUUGAGUGAAGUAGAGGUAAGUGGAAUUUCCGGAGUAGCGGUGAAAUGCGUAGAUACCGGAAGGAACACCAGUGGCGAAGGCGACUUACUGGGCUUUAACUGACACUGAGGUGCGAAAGCGUGGGGAGCAAAC